Eubalaena glacialis (North Atlantic right whale) is the source of this 73-nucleotide non-coding RNA. Lineage: Eukaryota; Metazoa; Chordata; Mammalia; Artiodactyla; Balaenidae. The record is from the annotation of a RefSeq genome assembly.
UCCCUGGUGGUCCAGUGGGUAGGACUCUGCACUCUUGAUGUGGGGGGCCUGGGUUCAAUCCCCUGUCAGGGAA